RNAcentral lists this ribosomal RNA (497 nucleotides) under uncultured bacterium. RNAcentral's name for it is "partial 16S ribosomal RNA". It matches the Rfam family "Bacterial small subunit ribosomal RNA", at positions 28 to 507 of the family's 1533-position model. The record is from RNAcentral.
GACGAACGCUGGCGGCGUGCCUAAUACAUGCAAGUAGAACGCUGAAGAGAGGAGCUUGCUCUUCUUGGCUGAGUUGCGAACGGGUGAGUAACGCGUAGGUAACCUGCCUUGUAGCGGGGGAUAACUAUUGGAAACGAUAGCUAAUACCGCAUAACAAUGGAUGACACAUGUCAUUUAUUUGAAAGGGGCAAUUGCUCCACUACAAGAUGGACCUGCGUUGUAUUAGCUAGUAGGUGAGGUAAUGGCUCACCUAGGCGACGAUACAUAGCCGACCUGAGAGGGUGAUCGGCCACACUGGGACUGAGACACGGCCCAGACUCCUACGGGAGGCAGCAGUAGGGAAUCUUCGGCAAUGGGGGCAACCCUGACCGAGCAACGCCGCGUGAGUGAAGAAGGUUUUCGGAUCGAAAAGCUCUGUUGUAAGUCAAGAACGGGUGUGAGAGUGGAAAGUUCACACUGUGACGGUAGCUUACCAGAAAGGGACGGCUAACUACGUG